GAGCUUUCCGGGACCUGGCCAGCGAUGACUCAGCUGCUGCGCCCGGGUGCGGGACUGAUGUGAUGCGGGGAGGGGGCCGCCCGUUUGGAGGGCCGCCUCUGUCUGGUCUGGUUUUGAAGGGUUGUUUGUGGCUGGGAUUGGUGGCUCACAUCCGCUGGGGACUCUGGAGAGGAGGGAAGAAAGACGCGAGGAGGAGGAGCUGGACCGCGUGAGUGGCAGGAGUCCGGUUCGGGCCCGGCUGGGACUGCCUAGUUGCUUUGUUUGCUAACUUGGGACAGUGGCUUCGGGGCCACUCCACGGGACCCGCCUCGGGUCGGCUAAACCCAGCCGCGGCAGCGCGAGGCCGAAACGUUCCUUCCCGGCGGUUACCCGCGCCCACGCGGUGGCUCUCAUUAUGUACACAAAGGAUUUCGGGAAAGAUCGCUUUUGUCUCCGCCCUCACGAGAGCUCCAUCCGCCAAUGAGAAGCGAUGGGGUUUCAGCAUGGACUGGAAUAGUGAUGCUUCUGGGACCAUGAAUGCCCGUCGUUCUGACAGAAGAAUCUCUGGAUACACUUUUCGAUGAUAUCGUCAACGCCAGGCCUCGUGGCAGAUCUGAGUGAGUUUGUAUCUAUAUCGACAAUCUUUCCUGAAAGGUCAUGCCAGUACCAAGGCUCCCAGACUUGGCAGGAAGGCCCUUUCCCCUGUAGUUACCCGGUGUGCCACGCAGAUUACACAGCACUGCAAGUCUUGCCCUGCUUCCAAAGGAGCUCGAAGCUGAGACAGGGCGGGCUAAGAACUGCGGUGUUUCAUAUCCCUGGGAGCUUCAGGACUGACAUUCAUGUCUUCCAAAAUAUCGUGUUUUCAUCAGUACACAAGGAUGGCUUUUUGUCUCUGGACCUCGUUAGUCAAAGAAACUCACUCCAUUAACUGUCGAUUUGGAUACUGCGUGAUAUUUUCUGACGCAAAUACGAUGCUGCCCCCUCGAUCCACCCAAACGAAAACUGUCCAAUGCCUGUAGUAAUAGCGGCCCUAAAGAUUCUUUACGAGUGACUGCCUGUCCUGUAGAAGACACGUCAACUGUCUGAACAUCACCAUCGCUGGAAACAGUUUUUCCUUGAUGUACCUGUCUCACUGUUUCCUUUAAAAUAGCGUGUUUAUCUGGUUUGGCGUUGAAAUUGUCAGUACUGCUAAGAUUUGCAGGUAUCAGCUCAGCCAGUUCUUGUAUUUGCUUUCCUCCUCCUGUCUCCACUUUUCACUACCGUACGCCAGACCCUGCCCUGCAGCAUCGCAUGGCAAUGGCGUUUCUGAGACUCAGUGGCCAGCGGAUCCAAGGAGCUUUCACCUAGUCCACUCAACUUGAACACAGAUCUGCAACUGGCAGCCCAAUCAGUGAGGUCCAGGUAGGAGCAAAUCUUUUUUAUCUGCUCGCCACCAUCUUCCCGAGCGCCGCUGCUCUCUUUCGGAAACGCGCAGCUCAGCCCCGGCGAUCUGAGGAGCUGAGGCAUGGGUACUAUUCUUAAAGACAAGAAAUUCUUUCCUUUCUUUUUUCUUUAUAAAGUAAGCUACAUUUUUUUAACUAUGUGCUUAUAUGUGGGUACACGCACAAAAGUGAAGCUGUCCUUGGAGACAGCACUCAGGAGCCUCCCAAGAUGCAUGCUGGGAACUGAACUUGGAACCUCUGCAAGAACGGUACAUCUUAGCCAGCGAUUCACUGAACCAUCUCUCCAGUCCAAAACCUUUU
Molecule: long non-coding RNA, 1721 nt
Organism: Microtus oregoni (creeping vole)
Lineage: Eukaryota; Metazoa; Chordata; Mammalia; Rodentia; Cricetidae
Exons: 3
Source: RefSeq, a predicted model, not a curated record